Felis catus (domestic cat) is the source of this 85-nucleotide non-coding RNA. The record is from Rfam. NCBI's taxonomy places the organism in Eukaryota, Metazoa, Chordata, Mammalia, Carnivora, Felidae.
GCCUGGGUGGCUCAGUUGGUUGAGUGUCAGACUUCAGCUCAGGUCAUGAUCUCAUGGCUUGUGGGUUCAAGCCCCAUGUGAGGCU